RNAcentral lists this ribosomal RNA (253 nucleotides) under uncultured bacterium. Its description in RNAcentral is "partial 16S ribosomal RNA". It matches the Rfam family "Bacterial small subunit ribosomal RNA", at positions 524 to 776 of the family's 1533-position model. The record is from RNAcentral.
UACGGGGGGGGCAAGCGUUGUUCGGAAUUACUGGGCGUAAAGGGCUCGUAGGCGGCCAACUAAGUCGGACGUGAAAUCCCCAGGCUCAACCUGGGAACUGCGUCCGAUACUGGAUGGCUUGAAUCCGGGAGAGGGAUGCAGAAUUCCAGGUGUAGCGGUGAAAUGCGUAGAUAUCAGGAGGAACACCAAUGGCGAAGGCAGCUCGCUGGAACGGUACUGACGCUGAGGCGCGAAAGCGUGGGGAGCGAACAGG